UACGGGGGGGGCAAGCGUUGUUCGGAAUUACUGGGCGUAAAGGGCUCGUAGGCGGCCAACUAAGUCAGACGUGAAAUCCCUCGGCUUAACCGGGGAACUGCGUCUGAUACUGGAUGGCUUGAAUCCGGGAGAGGGAUGCGGAAUUCCAGGUGUAGCGGUGAAAUGCGUAGAUAUCGGGAGGAACACCAAUGGCGAAGGCAGCUUGCUGGGACGGUACUGACGCUGAGGCGCGAAAGCGUGGGGAGCAAACAGG
RNAcentral lists this ribosomal RNA (253 nucleotides) under uncultured bacterium. RNAcentral's name for it is "partial 16S ribosomal RNA". It matches the Rfam family "Bacterial small subunit ribosomal RNA", at positions 524 to 776 of the family's 1533-position model. The record is from RNAcentral.